Molecule: ribosomal RNA, 484 nt
Filed under: uncultured bacterium
Lineage: Bacteria
Description: partial 16S ribosomal RNA
Rfam family: Bacterial small subunit ribosomal RNA
Source: RNAcentral
GACGAACGCUGGCGGCGUGCUUAACACAUGCAAGUCGAACGGAAAGGCCCUGCUUUUGUGGGGUGCUCGAGUGGCGAACGGGUGAGUAACACGUGAGCAACCUGCCUUUGACUUUGGGAUAACUUCAGGAAACUGGGGCUAAUACCGGAUAGGAGCUCCUGCUGCAGGGUGGGGGUUGGAAAGUUUCGGCGGUUGGGGAUGGACUCGCGGCUUAUCAGCUUGUUGGUGGGGUAGUGGCUUACCAAGGCUUUGACGGGUAGCCGGCCUGAGAGGGUGACCGGCCACAUUGGGACUGAGAUACGGCCCAGACUCCUACGGGAGGCAGCAGUGGGGAAUAUUGCACAAUGGGCGGAAGCCUGAUGCAGCAACGCCGCGUGCGGGAUGACGGCCUUCGGGUUGUAAACCGCUUUCGCCUGUGACGAAGCGUGAGUGACGGUAAUGGGUAAAGAAGCACCGGCUAACUACGUGCCAGCCGCCGCGGUAA